Long non-coding RNA from Homo sapiens (human), 1267 nucleotides. The record is from Ensembl. NCBI's taxonomy places the organism in Eukaryota, Metazoa, Chordata, Mammalia, Primates, Hominidae.
AGAGCAGCUUUAAUAUUGCAGCAAUUUGGAUGUCUGCAUAAAAGCAGACUUGUUUUUUUUUCUCUCCACUUCUGGCUCCUGGAAAUAAUAUUCUCUUAACCUUUUGGAAUUAAACCAGCCAAAUAGAGUGUAACAUGUUUCUUAAUCAUUUGGGCCACCUUCUCCUUUCUGAAUGGAUGUUGGUUUCAGUGGGAAUGUUUUCUGUGGUUGUGGAUCAUUGAGAAGAUGGUGCUGAUUUGCUCUGGUAAGCUGAAGGAACAACCAGGCACGUGGCAUGAAGUGAAAUAAGGACAAAUGCAAGAGACAUCCUGGAGACAGGCAACUGAGGACAAAGAAAGUCUGUGGGGAAAGGGUGGUGAACCAGGUGCCCACCUGCCAGCAUUAUUGCUGAGGCACAUCUCAGCCAGGCCAUCAAGCUCCAGAUGAUCCUCAGUGAGGGAUACCGCUCUCUCAGUAUUCAAGAGUCACCCUUCCACAGAGAAGCCCUAGACUGCCCAUCAGUGGAAUAUGAGAGAGAGCCAGAGCCUUCAGACCAAGACAAUCGAACAUCCCUGGAUAUCUGAGAUAGCCAGCCUUUCUUCUGGAGAGCUUCCCAGUUGGCAUGAUGACAACGUAUUUGGCCCUGGCAAUAGAUUAUGGCUGGUACAAACCAGUUCUCAGGAUAUCUUACAACUAGAGGCAGCCUUAAGACCCUGUUUUGUCGAGAAUACCUACUUGGAAGUCUAGUCAAAAGAUCAAACAUCAAACUGCCAAAGACAGAAAAUUAUUUACUGAUGUACAUUAUUUGACAAACUAUUCAAAGGAAUGACCCCACUAUUUAUGCAGUUUUAAGCAGAGAAGGAGAGUCUCCAGGAACUAUACGAAUUAAUCAACUUGAGCAAUCAGCCUGUUUUACAGCCUCCUGCCUUGGAGACUACUUUUUCCAAAACUCUAUGUGGGAUGUGGUCACCUAGUUGGUUGGAACCAGCUCCUGACAGACCCCAGCAACUGACAGAUGAACCUGAGUGAACUUUCCUCAUUAUCAUGCUAAAGUCUCCAUCCCGAAAGGAACUAUAGCUUCAUUACCAGAACAUGCAACCUUUGUGCUGGCAUAAAGGCUCACUGCGUCUAAAGCAACUGGGACCCGUCCCGUACAUGUGAUGAUGCACACUCUCCUCUCUCCAUAGCGCCAUAAACUCUCUCAGGGAGACACUGCUUUGAGGAAUGCUUCCUUACUUGUGCUAAGUAAUAAAACUCCUAUUGAUUAAAAUUUACAUUCUUGUGGAUU